UUUCCGUAGGUGAACCUGCGGAAGGAUCAUUAAUGUGUUUGGGCCUCACGGCUCUUCAUUCCGACGCUGUGCGCCUUCGGGCUGCACGCUGAGGGAACAUAUAUCCACCCCUGUGCACACACACGGUGGCGAGCUGGGUAACGGCUCGCCGCUGAUCUUUACACACGUCUAAAAGUCAUUGUAUGGUUAUUUGAGAUAAAAACACAACUUUCAGCAACGGAUCUCUUGGCUCUC
This 234-nucleotide unclassified non-coding RNA is filed under the name plant metagenome. Its description in RNAcentral is "partial contains small subunit ribosomal RNA, internal transcribed spacer 1, and 5.8S ribosomal RNA". The record is from RNAcentral.